GAAUAUUGGUCAAUGGUCGCAAGACUGAACCAGCCAUGCUGCGUGCAGGAAGACGGUCCUAUGGAUUGUAAACUGCUUUUAUACAGGAAGAAACCCUCCCACGUGUGGGAGCUUGACGGUACUGUAGGAAUAAGGAUCGGCUAACUCCGUGCCAGCAGCCGCGGUAAUACGGAGGAUCCAAGCGUUAUCCGGAAUCAUUGGGUUUAAAGGGUCCGUAGGCGGCCUUAUAAGUCAGUGGUGAAAUCCCAUCGCUCAACGAUGGAACUGCCAUUGAUACUGUAGGGCUUGAAUUAUUGUGAAGUAACUAGAAUAUGUAGUGUAGCGGUGAAAUGCUUAGAUAUUACAUGGAAUACCAAUUGCGAAGGCAGGUUACUAACAAUUGAUUGACGCUGAUGGACGAAAGCGUGGGGAGCGAACAGG
RNAcentral lists this ribosomal RNA (420 nucleotides) under uncultured bacterium. RNAcentral's name for it is "bacterial SSU rRNA". It matches the Rfam family "Bacterial small subunit ribosomal RNA", at positions 359 to 776 of the family's 1533-position model. The record is from RNAcentral.